UUACGUCACACUGGUCAAUAUCCACCUGUCAUUACCUACGUACACAGGUCAAUGUAUAAUACAUGUGUAUUGUUGAGAGUUAUAUAUACCAGAUUAGUAGUGGACUUAAUUAAACCACGAACAGAAAGGACUGUUGGCUUUAUUACUAUCUGAAGACAGGAGAGACUACAGCAAAACCAAAGGUAGUACAUCAUUAGAGAUAUCAGAGAUAAUGAAGACAAGAACCGUACCUAGCUUCAGAUCCAAUGAUUAUUUAGAUAUGAAAUCAGAAGGUGUUAAGAAGAAACGUAACAGAAUUCAUUAUACAGCCGCCCAGACAAGAGCGUUUGAGGGUAUGUUCGCACGAAACCAAUUCCCAGACCGUGAAACGCUGGAAGCUAUUUGUGAAGAACUUGACGUCAGCCAUAAAAACGCACAGGUUUGGUUUCAAAAUCGCAGAGCUCGAUCUCGUCGUGAUCCCAAUGACGUCAAUUCACCUCGUAAAUUACCACAACUCGACAGCGAUAACAGCAAUUCACCAUGUUCAUCACCUAAACCUAGAUCCAGACCAGCCCCAAGACCAGAAUUCAUUCCAGAACAACUUGUUACCUUUGUAAAGAAACCAAUUCCGAAUUCAAAGUGGCACGAACCAAUCAAAAGCAACUUUACAUCAUACAAUAAUGGACCAUUUGGCUCACCGGAAGCCGUUCCACAGAAUUAUCAACCCAAUUGUCCACAACCCUACUUCCAUCCAUACGAUUAUCAACCAAUUAAUCACGAUGUUCCCUUUUACUAUCAACCAAUUAAAACGCACGAAUCAUCGCAAGCAAAUGGACCAGAUUGUCCAAUCUCAGCCAUUUUAAGCCAAACGAACAAUGUUACGCAAAACGGUUACUAUGGUGAUUUUACAUAUGGACGAUCUUGUUACGGAUCUCCUCCGGAAAAUGGAUAUUAUGGAAAUUCAGAAUGCGUGACAUCACAAGUUCGGGUUAUAGCGGAUGCGAACAAAACCCUAACGGUGCUCUAAAAAUAGACAAAUAUACAGAACUGAAACGUCUUUCAUUGAAUUCAUAUUAUCAUUAUUUAUUACAAACCAGCGAUAUUCAUGGAAUCAAUCAACCAUCUACGGCAUUAACAAUACCGUCCAGUUAAUCAUGAUAUAAAACAUCAAAUCAAGAAAAUGUGGAAACGAGAAAAAAUUAAUAUAACGUUAUUCAAUAUCAUUAUUAUUCGACUCUCCCGGAAUUUUCAUCCCGACAUAGCUAAAUGUUAUCAGCAUUAUUCGUUGCUGUAAAUAAAGUAUUAAGGUUUUUUUUACCCUCCCAGAAUCUACAGCUAAGUAAUGUAAGAAAUAUUCAGUGCUGUAAUGUAUUAAUAGUUUUUGACUCUUCCAGAAUCUACUACAUUACAGCUAAGUAAUGUAAGAAAUAUUCAAUGCUGUAAAUAAAGUCUGAAUAUUAUUUGACUCCUCAGAAUUGACAGCAGUAUAUUAUCCCGACAAAGCUAACAUAGUUAUACGCGCUGAGUGAAUAUAGUUGUGCUGUAAAGUCAUAUAUUAAUAUAACAUAAAAGAAUUGGACACAAAAGAUCUCCUUGCGUAACUGCAUAAUAUAUUUUUACAAGAAGAAGACUCUAGUCAUUUUAAUGUUUAAUUUAUAUAAUUUAUUUCAACAAAUGUCGUCAUACAACUGUGUGGGUAGAAUGUGAAUGUAUAUAAGCCUAGUACGUAUGUAGCAUAAAAUCAAACUAUAUUUUUUCAAAACCGGUAAAUAAUUUAUGAGAUAUUUGUGUGUUAUAUUGUACCUGUGUGUACAUGUACGUGCAUUGUGUGUAUGUUUUAUUGAUGUUUUUUUGUAAUUAUAUUUAAUAAAAUGUUAAAUUUCUUAA
Patella vulgata (common limpet) is the source of this 1866-nucleotide long non-coding RNA. RefSeq lists it as uncharacterized. NCBI's taxonomy places the organism in Eukaryota, Metazoa, Mollusca, Gastropoda, Patellidae. The transcript has 5 exons. The record is from RefSeq and is a predicted model, not a curated record.